Molecule: ribosomal RNA, 253 nt
Filed under: uncultured bacterium
Lineage: Bacteria
Description: partial 16S ribosomal RNA
Rfam family: Bacterial small subunit ribosomal RNA
Source: RNAcentral
UACGAAGGGGGCUAGCGUUGCUCGGAAUCACUGGGCGUAAAGGGUGCGUAGGCGGGCCUUUAAGUCAGGGGUGAAAUCCUGGAGCUCAACUCCAGAACUGCCUUUGAUACUGAAGAUCUUGAGUUCGGGAGAGGUGAGUGGAACUGCGAGUGUAGAGGUGAAAUUCGUAGAUAUUCGCAAGAACACCAGUGGCGAAGGCGGCUCACUGGCCCGAUACUGACGCUGAGGCACGAAAGCGUGGGGAGCGAACAGG